UGUCUAGGGAUGGGAAUCGAACCCACAAUGUUCCGCUUACCGGGCAGAUGCCAUGUCCACUAGGCUACCCUGGAC
This 75-nucleotide transfer RNA is filed under the name Cordylochernes scorpioides. RNAcentral describes it as "tRNA-Thr". Lineage: Eukaryota; Metazoa; Arthropoda; Arachnida; Pseudoscorpiones; Chernetidae. The record is from RNAcentral.